CCGUAGAAACUUGGAAGGAGUCUGGUUACUAUAGAAAUCUCGUUGUCGAGGAAGCUCGGAUGCUAACGAAGCCCGAAAGAAGUUCGGAGUAUGGUCGUCCGUGGCCGGAAGAAGUCCAGGAGAAACUCGAGGAAUGGUUGGCUGCUGUAGGAGAUCGACUGUCAGUGAGGCCCAGAGGGCCUUUGGGGCGGCCCGAUGGG
Molecule: long non-coding RNA, 200 nt
Filed under: Elaeis guineensis (African oil palm)
Lineage: Eukaryota; Viridiplantae; Streptophyta; Magnoliopsida; Arecales; Arecaceae
Description: long non-coding RNA (EGUI_LNC032840)
Source: RNAcentral